UAUCUCUGUAGAGUCUGCAUAUCAAUAAGCGGAGGAAAAGAAACUAACUAGGAUUCCCUCAGUAACGGCGAGUGAAGCGGGAAGAGCUCAAAUUUGAAAUCUUCAAGGUUCUACCUUGACGAAUUGUAGUUUAAAGAAGUGUUUUCUGUUGGAGUUUUGGUAAAAGUUCUUUGGAAUAGGACAUCAUAGAGGGUGAGAAUCCCGUAUUUGACCAUUAUUUCCAGCUUUGUGAUACACUUUCAAAGAGUCGGAUUGUUUGGGAAUGCAGUCCAAAAUGGGUGGUAAAUUUCAUCUAAAGCUAAAUACUGGCGAGAGACCGAUAGCGAACAAGUACCGUGAGGGAAAGAUGAAAAGAACUUUGAAAAGAGAGUUAAACAGUACGUGAAAUUGUCAAAAGGGAAGCGUUUGACACCAGUGUUGUUUUCUCGAAAAUCGAUUAAAAAUGGCUUGAUUUUGUGUUGUAUUGACCUUAAAAGCUUUCUUCACUUUUUUCAUGUCUUUUUAAUGCACUUUUCGUUUAACAAGUCAACAUCGGUUUCUUUUGUUGUAAAAAGGUCAUUGGAAGGUGGCUUUCUUUUCGGAGAAAGUGUUUAUAGCCUUUGACUUCUGCAAUCGGAGAGACUGAGGUCUGCAGCGUAGAUCCUUCUGGAUCAGAUUCAUUUGUGCUAAGUUACAACCGUUUAUAGGCAACUUGUUGACUAUAUUCGAUCCUGUAGCUUACUCGCUUAUGUAAUUUUACCUACGCUUAGGAUGUUGACGAUCAGCUGAGCGC
Molecule: ribosomal RNA, 772 nt
Filed under: uncultured Neocallimastigales
Lineage: Eukaryota; Fungi; Neocallimastigomycota; Neocallimastigomycetes; Neocallimastigales
Description: partial large subunit ribosomal RNA
Rfam family: Eukaryotic large subunit ribosomal RNA
Source: RNAcentral